GUAUGCACAUGGCACGCGUGUAUACAUGUUACACGCAUGUAUACAUGUUACACGCAUGUAUACAUGUUACACGCAUGUGUACAUGUU
This 87-nucleotide transfer RNA is filed under the name Plasmodium ovale (malaria parasite P. ovale). Its description in RNAcentral is "Cys transfer RNA (aca)". Lineage: Eukaryota; Apicomplexa; Aconoidasida; Haemosporida; Plasmodiidae. The record is from RNAcentral.